RNAcentral lists this ribosomal RNA (490 nucleotides) under uncultured bacterium. RNAcentral describes it as "partial 16S ribosomal RNA". It matches the Rfam family "Bacterial small subunit ribosomal RNA", at positions 30 to 507 of the family's 1533-position model. The record is from RNAcentral.
AUCGAACGCUGGCGGCAGGCCUAACACAUGCAAGUCGAACGGUAACAGGAAGCAGCUUGCUGCUUCGCUGACGAGUGGCGGACGGGUGAGUAAUGUCUGGGAAACUGCCUGAUGGAGGGGGAUAACUACUGGAAACGGUAGCUAAUACCGCAUAACGUCGCAAGACCAAAGAGGGGGACCUUAGGGCCUCUUGCCAUCGGAUGUGCCCAGAUGGGAUUAGCUAGUAGGUGGGGUAACGGCUCACCUAGGCGACGAUCCCUAGCUGGUCUGAGAGGAUGACCAGCCACACUGGAACUGAGACACGGUCCAGACUCCUACGGGAGGCAGCAGUGGGGAAUAUUGCACAAUGGGCGCAAGCCUGAUGCAGCCAUGCCGCGUGUAUGAAGAAGGCCUUCGGGUUGUAAAGUACUUUCAGCGGGGAGGAAGGGAGUAAAGUUAAUACCUUUGCUCAUUGACGUUACCCGCAGAAGAAGCGCCGGCUAACUCCGUG